RNAcentral lists this transfer RNA (72 nucleotides) under Camelus bactrianus (Bactrian camel). It matches the Rfam family "tRNA". Rfam says of the family: Transfer RNA (tRNA) molecules are approximately 80 nucleotides in length. Their secondary structure includes four short double-helical elements and three loops (D, anti-codon, and T loops). Lineage: Eukaryota; Metazoa; Chordata; Mammalia; Artiodactyla; Camelidae. The record is from Rfam by way of RNAcentral. RNAcentral also lists the same sequence under 2 other names.
AAGGGUAUAGCUCAGGGGUAGGGCACAUGCCAAGAAAGCACAAGGUCCUGGGUUCAAUCCCCAGUACCUCCA